GUUCAACUGUCAUGCAAGCAGGAGUCCUAGAGAAUAUUUAUUUUUUUUCUUGAUUCCCUAUGGGCAUUUUUCAUAGAUAUAAGUAUUUAUACAACUUAAAGGAACAGCCACACUGAAGAUACUCUGACUGAUAUAGAAAACCCUAUGAAGAAGACAUAAAGAUUCACAUCUCACAGAACAAGAACGUACUGAAUUCUUCCUUGGUCCUACCGAUGCAAAAACCAUAGAAACCUCUAUGUGUUGUUGGGUCUGAACAUCAGGUUUUUUGUGCAGGGAGAGUGAAGUGCUCCAAAUGAGGUUUUGCAGAGCUGGCUUGCUGUGCUUCCAGCUGAGGUAGAUCAUCAGAAACAUGGAGGGCCAGUGCUGAUCGGAAUGCACAAAAAGGCUGAAACACAAAAUCUGAGGCUUGUGGAAAAAGCCUCCUUCUCUAUCAGAUUUACAGCUGGAAAUCAUCUCCUGAAUUUCUUCACCUAAGCCAAUCCAACUGCAUUCAUAUGAAGUACAGAUAAGGAAAGGACCUAUGUGACGUCUGGUUUCUUAAGUGUUAUCUGGCUCCAGAUGAAGUACGAAUCAGUGUUUGGAGGAGUUCUAUAAGAUCAAAUCUGUGACAGCUGCAGGCUUGCUCAUCUCAAGACCCUCAGACCACUUCAUAACCAAGGAUACAUUAGUGGAGCAUCCUGAAUAAUCUUAUGUCUUUCCGGAAGUCAUUCUCAGCUGGAUUUUGGCAUAAGACUUGUUGUUGCACCUGCUCUGCAUUAAAAACUCAAACUCUACAAGCAAGCAUUCCAGAACCAGACAUGAAUAUAACUCGGAACUAAAAUGAACAUUCUGCUCCACUAACUUUCAUCCAUGGAUGAUGCCCUUUGUUUUUGAACACUGCCUUUAAUGGCUCCUGUUAAGGACGAAGCAGGUUUGAGUUUAGCUGUUACUGGAUCUUCGAACUAAAGGCUGUCAAGUUACCUGUUUGGAAACAGUUGGGCUUUUCAUUGACGUUGCUUUCUUGAAAAGUGCUUUCAGAGCUGUUUUCCACUCCAAAAAUGAAGAAGUAAAAUGUGGAAACAAAACGCUGGAGGACAACAUAAAACUCAGCAAGCUGUAAGUGGGUUCACAGGGUUUACUUCAUCACAUGCUCCAGACCAAGUGCUGCAGCACUGUGUUGCACUUGGCUUUAAGUUUGCAGUAGAGGGAACAAAGUGAUGCACUGAGAAAGAUUUCUGGACUGUGAGUGCUCAUGUUCUUAAUCAGAUUACACUUUAUCAACUUACCCCUUCUCAUUAAUCCACAGUAAAAGUCAUGUGUACUCUUAACCUGUCCCAGCUCUGAAACAAAACAUCAUCUGAGGCUCUACAUCAGUGUCUGUUUUAAUGCUAGGCAAUUGCUUAAGGCAAUUUACUCAGUGUUAAGGAGGUACAGCUUAGAAGUGUGUUUCUUGUGAGAUACUGCAGAACUUCCGAGAAAUGUUAACCACAUACACCAAAUGAUUAACUGAGUAAUGCAGAACUCGGGGUAGUUUCAGCUUGCAGAUUCAAACUCAAGUGUUACGGGAACGCAUGCAAAUGUCUGCAUGGGAAAUGGUUGUGUAAGAUCUCGUUUCAUUUAGCAGUACAGUCAGUGAAAUUAAGAGCACUGUUCGUCACAGAAGCUAGCAGGGAAGCAAUAGGGCAAUGGAAAACAAUGGGACCCUCCUGAGCAUCAAAAAUGAAGUUUCUGCAUAUUGAAGCUCAAGAUUUCCACAGACGAUGACACCAGUUUUCACACUGUCCCACACGUUGCUCCCUAUAUAUGGGCACACACAUUUUCAAAAUGAAUUUGGG
Molecule: long non-coding RNA, 1814 nt
Filed under: Gallus gallus (chicken)
Lineage: Eukaryota; Metazoa; Chordata; Aves; Galliformes; Phasianidae
Source: RNAcentral